RNAcentral lists this ribosomal RNA (363 nucleotides) under uncultured Actinobacillus sp. RNAcentral describes it as "bacterial SSU rRNA". It matches the Rfam family "Bacterial small subunit ribosomal RNA", at positions 8 to 365 of the family's 1533-position model. Lineage: Bacteria; Pseudomonadati; Pseudomonadota; Gammaproteobacteria; Pasteurellales; Pasteurellaceae. The record is from RNAcentral.
AGAGUUUGAUCCUGGCUCAGAUUGAACGCUGGCGGCAGGCUUAACACAUGCAAGUCGAACGGUAACAGGAAGAAAGCUUGCUUUCUUUGCUGACGAGUGGCGGACGGGUGAGUAAUGCUUGGGAAUCUGGCUUAUGGAGGGGGAUAACUACGGGAAACUGUAGCUAAUACCGCGUAAUAUCGAGAGAUUAAAGGGUGGGACCGCAAGGCCACCUGCCAUGAGAUGAGCCCAAGUGGGAUUAGGUAGUUGGUGAGGUAAAGGCUCACCAAGCCGACGAUCUCUAGCUGGUCUGAGAGGAUGACCAGCCACACUGGAACUGAGACACGGUCCAGACUCCUACGGGAGGCAGCAGAAGGGCGAAUU